ACUCCUACGGGGAGGCAGCAGUAGGGAAUCUUCCACAAUGGGCGCAAGCCUGAUGGAGCAACACCGCGUGAGUGAAGAAGGGUUUCGGCUCGUAAAGCUCUGUUGUUAAAGAAGAACACGUAUGAGAGUAACUGUUCAUACGUUGACGGUAUUUAACCAGAAAGUCACGGCUAACUACGUGCCAGCAGCGCGGUAAUACGUAGGUGGCAAGCGUUAUCCGGAUUUAUUGGGCGUAAAGAGAGUGCAGGCGGUUUUCUAAGUCUGAUGUGAAAGCCUUCGGCUUAACCGGAGAAGUGCAUCGGAAACUGGAUAACUUGAGUGCAGAAGAGGGUAGUGGAACUCCAUGUGUAGCGGUGGAAUGCGUAGAUAUAUGGAAGAACACCGGUGGCGAAGGCGGCUACCUGGUCUGCAACUGACGCUGAGACUCGAAAGCAUGGGUAGCGAACAGGAUUAGAUACCCUGGUAGGAUAGCG
Molecule: ribosomal RNA, 473 nt
Filed under: uncultured bacterium
Lineage: Bacteria
Description: bacterial SSU rRNA
Rfam family: Bacterial small subunit ribosomal RNA
Source: RNAcentral